RNAcentral lists this long non-coding RNA (258 nucleotides) under Physcomitrium patens. RNAcentral's name for it is "long non-coding RNA (PPAT_LNC013165)". The record is from RNAcentral. Lineage: Eukaryota; Viridiplantae; Streptophyta; Bryopsida; Funariales; Funariaceae.
AUAAUGCUAAUACAUUUAUAAAUUUGAGUAGAAUUUAAAUAUGAGAUUGUUGUUGUAAAUGGAUUAUUCAAGCUUUGAGAGUAUUAUCUUUUAAGAUACAUAUCUAAUACUAUAGUAGUUCAAGAUAGGUAUUGAGAGAAGAUUAGUAUAGGAAUUUUAGUAUCAAAUAUGAUUUUUAUUUAUUUAUUUAUUUAUUUUUGGAUGUGUGUGUAUAGGAAGGAGAUUGCUAUAGUUUUUGGAGGACUAGAUUCAAGACUA